UACUUGGGGAUAUGCCUUUGCGUGGGGGAGUAACUAUUGGAAACGAUAGCUAAUACCGCAUGAUGUCUACGGACCAAAGGGGGCGUUUUAGCUCUCGCGCAAUGAGUAACCCAAGCGAGAUUAGCUAGUUGGUGAGGUAAAGGCUCACCAAGGCGACGAUCUCUAGCUGUUCUGAGAGGAAGAUCAGCCACACUGGGACUGAGACACGGCCCAGACUCCUACGGGAGGCAGCAGUGGGGAAUUUUGCGCAAUGGGGGAAACCCUGACGCAGCAACGCCGCGUGGAGGAUGAAGUCCUUCG
Molecule: ribosomal RNA, 300 nt
Filed under: uncultured Alteromonadaceae bacterium
Lineage: Bacteria; Pseudomonadati; Pseudomonadota; Gammaproteobacteria; Alteromonadales; Alteromonadaceae
Description: bacterial SSU rRNA
Rfam family: Bacterial small subunit ribosomal RNA
Source: RNAcentral